UUCACGUCUGAAGAAAACCAAUUUAUAUUUACUUCAGCAAUUGCUGUAGGCUAUAACUUUAACAAAUCAGUCGGAGACAUUUUAUAAGCGUGAGCCAACUACAGUGUGCAUCCUGCAAACCAGUAAAUGCAGAUAGAAGACUGAGAGGCAAUAUUCUGCUCAGCACAACAUCCAUCUCAGCACACCCUUAAGCUUUGAACAAUGGAAGGCGUGAAUUCUGAACAUUUUUUAGGCAUGUCAAUUCGAUGGCUGCUGCUGGUGUAUAAUUCCUUCCCGAGGAGAGGGAUCAUGACUUGGGAGCUGCAACAGUAACUUGAACAUUUCAUUUAAGCAUGAGAAUGAACAUCUUCCAAAGAAGACACCUUCAUUCAGUCCUUGGAAUGCUAAGUGAAAUGUACAUUUAUAAUGUAUCAUGUUAAGGUACUAACCUGCUUCUAUAUCACCCAAAAAUGAAUUCAAUUUGAAAUCCUUUAACUCAAA
Long non-coding RNA from Rhincodon typus (whale shark), 480 nucleotides. RefSeq lists it as uncharacterized. The transcript is spliced from 3 exons. Lineage: Eukaryota; Metazoa; Chordata; Chondrichthyes; Orectolobiformes; Rhincodontidae. The record is from RefSeq and is a predicted model, not a curated record.